This 533-nucleotide ribosomal RNA is filed under the name uncultured bacterium. Its description in RNAcentral is "bacterial SSU rRNA". It matches the Rfam family "Bacterial small subunit ribosomal RNA", at positions 777 to 1304 of the family's 1533-position model. The record is from RNAcentral.
AAUAGAUACCCCGGUAGUCCUGGCCGUAAACCAUGGGCACUGGGUAGGGGGCUCGCCGAUGGGCCCCCUGCCGCAGCGAAAGCGUGAAGUGCCCCGCCUGGGGAGUAUGGCCGCAAGGCUGAAACUCAAAGGAAUUGACGGGGGCUCACACAAGCGGUGGAGCAUGUGGCUUAAUUCGAGGCUACGCGAAGAACCUUACCCCGGGCUUGACAUGCACGGAUUAGCAUCCUGAAAGGGAUGUGACGCCCUCGGGUGGAACGUGCACAGGUGCUGCAUGGCUGUCGUCAGCUCGUGCCGUGAGGUGUUGGGUUAAGUCCCGUAACGAGCGAAACCCCUGCGACCAGUUGCCAGCAUUAAGUUGGGGACUCUGGUCGGACCGCCGGCGUCAAGCCGGAGGAAGGCGGGGACGACGGUCAAGUCAUCAUGGCCCUUAUGCCCGGGGCUGCACACGUGCUACAAUGGGCCGGACAGAGCGUCGCCACUGCGCAAGCAGGAGCCAAUCGCAGAAACCGGCCCCCAGUUCGGAUUGCGGG